GAUGAACGCUGGCGGCGUGCUUAACACAUGCAAGUCGAACGGUGAAGCAGGAGCUUGCUCUUGUGGAUCAGUGGCGAACGGGUGAGUAACACGUGAGCAACCUGCCCCUGACUCUGGGAUAAGCGCUGGAAACGGCGUCUAAUACUGGAUAUGUGAUGUGACCGCAUGGUCUGCAUCUGGAAAGAAUUUCGGUUGGGGAUGGGCUCGCGGCCUAUCAGCUUGUUGGUGAGGUAAUGGCUCACCAAGGCGUCGACGGGUAGCCGGCCUGAGAGGGUGACCGGCCACACUGGGACUGAGACACGGCCCAGACUCCUACGGGAGGCAGCAGUGGGGAAUAUUGCACAAUGGGCGGAAGCCUGAUGCAGCAACGCCGCGUGAGGGAUGACGGCCUUCGGGUUGUAAACCUCUCUUAGCAGGGAAGAAGCGAAAGCGACGGUACCUGCAGAAAAAGCACCGGCUAACUACGUGCCAGCAGCCGCCGUAA
RNAcentral lists this ribosomal RNA (484 nucleotides) under uncultured bacterium. RNAcentral's name for it is "partial 16S ribosomal RNA". It matches the Rfam family "Bacterial small subunit ribosomal RNA", at positions 28 to 523 of the family's 1533-position model. The record is from RNAcentral.